CAGCAGCCGCCGCGGGAAUACAGAGGGUGCGAGCGUUAAUCGGAUUUACUGGGCGUAAAGCGUGCGUAGGCGGCUUUUUAAGUCGGAUGUGAAAUCCCUGAGCUUAACUUAGGAAUUGCAUUCGAUACUGGGAAGCUAGAGUAUGGGAGAGGAUGGUAGAAUUCCAGGUGUAGCGGUGAAAUGCGUAGAGAUCUGGAGGAAUACCGAUGGCGAAGGCAGCCAUCUGGCCUAAUACUGACGCUGAGGUACGAAAGCAUGGGGAGCAAACAGGAUUAGAUACCCCUGUAGUCCCUGUCUCUUAUAC
RNAcentral lists this ribosomal RNA (304 nucleotides) under uncultured bacterium. Its description in RNAcentral is "partial 16S ribosomal RNA". It matches the Rfam family "Bacterial small subunit ribosomal RNA", at positions 506 to 807 of the family's 1533-position model. The record is from RNAcentral.